GCGUCAUGUUGCAGACGGUUUUGGAAUCAGGUGAACGCGGCCGGGUCGCAGGAAGGGAACGGAGCCGAUUGGUGGGGAGGAGAGGAAGCGGAGUCUUCAGAAACACCUUGUGAAGGCCGCAAGCCCCGAAUAAGAACCUAAAACUCCCGUCUUUGUAGCUUUGGUCUUUUUCCCGGAAACCGUCCCAGGUUUACAUGCUGUAAACUCAAAAUAUUCUAUUUCUUCUGAAUUAAUAUCGUCGACUGAUGGUUAUGAUAUUUGAGAUCUCCUAGAAGAUUUGAAAGCUGCUAGAAUUUCAUCUGACUCCAAUGUUUCUGAUAUCUUUCCAGCUGCCAUCUCCAGCAGGAGAUUUUAAAUGUGAAAACAGUGAAAUCGUUUCAGAACAAUGUUUUGAGCACCAAAUUCGACACAUAGCUACAAACAUCAAAUGUGCAUCACUUGAUUAUUGAUGUUAUAUCUUGGCCCUCUGGAACUGAGCUUUCCUCACAAAGGGGGCGAUCCGAUGGCAGAGGUAUUACCCAGCAUUCGCCGCGGGACAGACGGUGCCCUAUCCUCACUGCAGGCACUUUUGCACAGGCGCUGUGCGAGUGCUGGAGUUCGACGGAAACCCCAGGAGGUCGUGUCGCAUUCGCAACGGGUGAAAGAAACAGCCGAGUGCAGGAGAGGAAUGGAGCGGUCUGCCAAUGGGUUGAUGGUUGAAGAUACUUCAUAAACACCUGGCGCAGACCUUUAAGUCCUGGUAAGAAACUGCUGUUCCCGUAUUUGCACCAAGAAGGCUGGCAGUUGUUCUCUCGGCAUCAGGCCUGUCUUUCGGGCCGCCAUCUUUCUCGGGGGGGCAAUGUGCAGCAGGGCGCAUGCGCAGUCAUCGCUGUCGGCUGGGGAGAAUGUUCCUUUUACAGGGGAUCAGAAGGGGAGGAUUUACACACAGCAAACGCGAAGCAUUGCAUCAAAGUUCAGUCAAUUCAACUGGACCUGAAUAUCAUCGACCUUUGAAUAUGCAAAGAAACAAGUUUAUCUGUUCUGUCUGUGGGAAACGAUUUCAUGUGAAAAGAUUUUCACAUCCGGCUUCACCCAAGAGAAUGAGGAUGAAGGUAUUGAACUUGGGGAGAGAGACUGUGAGGUUCUUGAGCAAAUAGAUAUAGGAAGUGACAAGGUAUUGGAGAUGUUGGCAGGCUUGUAAGUGGACAAAUCUGUUUGUGGGAAAAGAUUUCAAACAUCAGUGUGACUGGAAAAGCACCGAGACAGACACACACCUGUGUGAGAGUGUUCCAGUGAACUGACUGUGGGAAGAUCUUUAAGUAGUCACACAGUCUGAAAAAAAAUUACCCCAUUCACAGUGGGGAGAAACCGAACACGUGUGUGUGGACUGAUCUUCAACUGAUCGUCCAACGUGGAGAAACACAAGGACUCUGGCACCAUGGAGAAACUAUGGGAAUGUGGGGACUGUGGGAAGGGAUUGAAUUACCCAAACCUGGAAACUCAUUGCGCAGUCACACUGAGGAGAGACCAUUCAUCUGCACUGUGUGUGGGAAGAACUUCACUCAGUCAUCCCACCUCACUGACCACCAACGUGUACACAGUGAUCAAAGACCUUUUAAAUGUUCUGACUGUGAGAAGAGCUUUAAAAACAAGAAGAAUCUGGUGGCACACCAGCUUGUUCACACUGGGGAGAGGCUGUUCCUCUGCUCUGAGUGCGGAAAGAGAUUCAUUCAGUCAUCACACUUUCUGACACACCAGCAAGUUCACACUGGAGAGAGGCUGUUCACCUGCUACACAUGUGGGAAGGGAUUCACUCAGACACAGUCAUCCCACCUUCUGAGAUAUGAGUGAAUUCACACUGGGGAGAGACCGUUCACCUGCUCCUAGUGUGGAAAGGGAUUUUCCCAGCCAUCCGACCUUCUGGUACACAAGCAAAUUCACACUGGGGAGAGGCCGUUCACCUGCUCUGAAUGUGAGAGGGGAUUCAUUCAGCUAUCUGACCUUGUGAGACACCAGGAAAUUCACAAGUAACUGCAGGAGUUGGAGUCUUAUUGCUGCUGUUACUCACAUCCAGGACUGAACAUGUGCGUUAUACUGACGUUUAAGAAAUGUGUGUUCCAUGGUUCAAAGCUUAGGAGGCUCCUUUACGACUGGGUUUAGAGUCAGGAAGAACAAUGGUGAACGCUAGAAGUGUGCUGUCAAAUCAGGGAUUGGUGUAAAACUGUGAUUUGCUCCUGAAAGUGAAAUGGCAGGUUUAAGUUUCCAGCCUGAAAAUUUGGUAAUUAUUGAAAAUGUUGGCGUGACAUUCCUGAGUUUACCAAUGAAGGGUAAUAACAACAACAUGUUGCAUUUAUAUAGAACCUUUAAUAAUGUCCCAAGAUGCUUUAGAAUUUAUUGCCCAUCCCUGAUUGCCCUUGAACAUAGUAGCUUGCAUUUCAGAGGACAGUUAAGAGUCAACCACAUUGCUGUGGGUCUGAAAUCACGAGUAGGUCAGACCAGGUAAGAAGGUAGAUCACCUUCCCUAAAGGGCAACAAUCGAUGAUAAAUUCAUGGUCACUAGCUUUUCAAUUCCAGAUUUUUUCCAUCAUCUGCCAUGGUGGCUUUUGAACCCGGGACCCCAGAUCAUUUGCUUGGGCCUCUGAAUUACUAGUCCAGUGAAUUAACCACCACGCCACCAUCUCCGCAUGAUCGAGUGAUCAAAAACUUGGUCAAAGAGAUAGAUUUUAAGGAGGCGAGAGGUUUAGGGAGAGAAAUCCAGAGCUCUGGGCCUCGGCAGCUGAAAGCACAGCCACCAAUGGUGGAGUGAAGUAGUUGGGAGUGUGGGGAAUGGGUCAGAAUUGGAGGGACGCAGGGAGCUUGAAGGAUCGUAGGGCUGGAGGAGGUUCCAGAGACUGUCUGUCAUGGAGAGAGUGGCUGCCUCCAUGGAGCUUCAAGCACGGCUCUGAAAUGGGUCCAUGCAGGUCAUGACCACAGCUGUACAGGAGAUGUCGGCUGCCUUAAACAGGAUGACAGACACUGUAUCUGUGACCUUACAACACGUCACUGACCUCCACCAAACUGGUCUGCAGCAGAGUGGGAGGAAUGAUGUGACUCUGCUCCAGGAGAGGGACGAUGGACAAAAGAGACACGGAAGUGGGAACUCUGAUCAAAGUGUUCCCAGUUCUCACUCAUUACUCCCGAACCCCCAGGCAGUACCCAACAUGCUGCCCCCAUCUCCUGACAUGCUGACCCCUGAGGGGCUCUGACACCCAGAAGACGGAGACCACAAGCCUCUCGGCAGUGAGAGCAGGGAUGUGAGCAGCCUGUCUCUCCCUCUGCUAAAACCACACAGGAUGCAUCAUGUAGAAGCAAUAGGAAGGGUCUGGGCUAGAAAUUGUAAUUUAGCAAGGGUGCACAGGGGUGUUUGAUAAAAUAUUAAUUUCCUUUUAAAAUAAUGACACAGAAAAUGUAUUGAUUGGAACCACUUCCAGCUCUUGUCCACUCUGACAUCCUGAGGGCCAGCUCACCCUCUCACUGGGUUCGUGCUGAAUGUCAGUCCGGGCUGGGAGCCAUUGGGUGGAUGUGCAAUGGGUGGAUGAGUGGGUGAAGGAAUGUUCAGUGAACAGGGAAGGGGAGGGGGGUGUUGGUGCUGCUGUUGGGAAGUGUUCAUUCUGAAGGAGUCCCACCUGAAACAGUGACCAUUCAUUUAUCACUUUGAAAUGAUUGAGCUGCUGUGUAAUUCCCCAAUUUUGUUCUUUUAGUUUUCCAGGAUUUAUAUAUAUGUUUUCUUUUUAUUAAAAUGUUGCUGUUGUAACACUGAAAUCCAGAGGAUUUAAAAUCUGUUAAAGUCAAUCCCCAACAAAGGAGGACUCAACUGGUCCUAACUUCUUAUGAUAUCAAUAAACAAAGAUCUUACAAGCUGUUCAUAUGGGGAAUUGCUUUUCUUUGAGACUAGGGACGAUCAAACGAUGUCACAAAGUUCAGAUUUGGGCCUUGAGCCUGGGCUAUAAGGCCCACAUACAUGGAGCACCAUUACCCGAUUUCCCUCAUCCCCGAUUUUAAUCUCUCCACCAUAGAUGGCCGUGCCUUCAGCUGCCUGGACCCUGAACUCUGGAAUUUCCUCCCUAAACCUCUCUUUCUACUUCACUUUCCUCCUUUAAGACACUUCUUAUAACCGACAUCUUUGACCAAGCUUUGGUCAUCUGACUUAAUAUGUCCUUAUGCUCCUGUGAAACACCUUGGGAUGUUUAAUUAUGUUAAAAGCUCAAUAUAAAUAUAAGUCGUUGUUGUAUCUCAGUCAGACCUGAUCACUUACCGAGUGAGUGAGUCUGUAUCAAUGUAACUCAGAUAGAUACAGUUUGUGUCAUAGUUCAGUGAGAUCUGAUCACUUACUGAGUGAGUCUGUAUAAAUGUAACUCAGAUAGACACAGCUUGUUGGAACAGACCUGGGAAGAAGGACGUUCUGACUGAACUAACCACUGGACACAAUUGGAAAAGAUGAUUCUUUCCAAACUUUGAAAAUUACUAAUAAAGUCAUUAAAGAUGAUUUCUUGUUGUGAGCUGCAUUAUCUGGUAGAAUUAGAGUGAAGGAGUGGGAUUGACCCACAGCCUGAGUCAGGAGUGAGCAGCCCCUCCCAGCUGGACAACAGUGGAGAGGUGAUGGAGCAGAAUGAUGUGGUCGACCUUGUCAAAGG
Long non-coding RNA from Carcharodon carcharias (great white shark), 4652 nucleotides. RefSeq lists it as uncharacterized. NCBI's taxonomy places the organism in Eukaryota, Metazoa, Chordata, Chondrichthyes, Lamniformes, Lamnidae. The record is from RefSeq and is a predicted model, not a curated record. The transcript is spliced from 3 exons.